This is a non-coding RNA of Tachyglossus aculeatus (Australian echidna), 979 nucleotides long. The record is from the annotation of a RefSeq genome assembly. Lineage: Eukaryota; Metazoa; Chordata; Mammalia; Monotremata; Tachyglossidae.
AGUGCUGACUCAGACUCCAGAAUUCCUGUCCAAGGCUCCAGGAGAGAAAGUCACCAUCAACUGCAAAGCCAGUGAGAGUCUGCUUUGCAUUUUCAGCCCCCUGACAACAGACACUGACGUUCAGACCUGGUAUAAAUGUGGCUGUCACUGGGGAAUGGACCGGUCAGCCUCAGGCAGGUCAGACGGAUCAAGAUGGUGUCACCAUCCCAGCUCCUCGGGCUCCUGCUGCUCUGGAUCCCAGAUGCCAGUGGGGAGAAAGUGCUGACUCAGACUCCAGAAUUCCUGUCCAAGGCUCCAGGAGAGAAAGUCACCAUCAACUGCAAAGCCAGUGAGAGUGUUAGUAACUACUUAUACUGGUACCAGCAGAAACCUGGACAAGCCCCUAAGCUGAUCAUUAAGCAGGCCACCACCCUGAUGCCUGGGGUCCCGCCCCGAUUCAGCGGGAGCGGAUCUGGGAUGGAUUUCACCCUCACCAUCAGUGGUGUGGAAACAGAAGAUGCUGCGGACUAUUAUUGUGGCCAAAGCUAUGUACCUCUCACAGUGCUUCAGCCCGGUACAAAAAUCUCACCAGCUGGUUGAUCGGUGAUGCUUGUCUGACCCAGCUGCUCCCCUUCCCCCUGCAGCUGCUGUGAACCAUCUACAGCACAGCAUCACUCAAUACAGUGCAGUGCUUAGCCCACAAAAGUGCUCAACGAAUAUAACCAGUCGAUUGACUGUCAUGUCUUGAGUGAUGUUAUAGGAAGGUAUUCCAUGCUGCCAGAUAGAAUAGUGAUUGAAGCAGGGAGAGACUGGAGGCAGAGAUGAAGCUAAGCCCUCAAUUCCUCUUCUCCCAAACCCUUCUGUUUUGCCCAUGCUUUGGAUUUUUACCCCUUAUUUACCCCAUCAUCAGCCCUUCAGCAUUUCUGUACGUAUGUAUAGCAUUUAUUUAUAAUAAUACCUAUCUUCCCCUUCAGCCCGUAAGCUCAUUGUGAGCAGGGAG